This is a long non-coding RNA of Humulus lupulus (European hop), 529 nucleotides long. RefSeq lists it as uncharacterized. The record is from RefSeq and is a predicted model, not a curated record. NCBI's taxonomy places the organism in Eukaryota, Viridiplantae, Streptophyta, Magnoliopsida, Rosales, Cannabaceae. The transcript has 2 exons.
CUUUUGAUGUUAAUAUAUGUGUUGGUUACUUUCACUACUAUUGCUUGAAAUGGUUUUCAAUAACUACAAGAAAGUGUUGCAUUACUUUCACUACUAUUUCUUCAUUUUCUUGUUGCCAAGCUAAUUAUUUUCAAUAACUCAGCUUUUAUGGUUGUUAAUGGUUAUCAUAGCAGGAAAAAACUAUAUUUCUCACCCAUUCGUGAAUUAAUUCAAGCAAAAUAGAUGGUUAGAUAAAGGAAAUGGAAGCUGCUCGUUGCUCACUUUGGUAGACACAUGGAAAAAAGAGACUGAUGAAAAAGAUGUGACAAGCGAAAUAGAAAAGGAUACUUAAUUUUGAAGGAUUUGUGUUGGGCAGCUGUAGAAUAUUUUGUGCUAAAAGUAGUAACUUUUCAAUAUGUUGAAUAUUUAAGACUACUUGAAUACUUAAAGAACAUUUUGUUGUUGAUGACAGUGUUGAAUGUUUUAAACUAAUCUGUGGAUUGUUAAUACAAUGUUGAAUGUUUUUACUUUUUGUUAUUUGAAAAUCAAG